GACGAACGCUGGCGGCGUGCUUAAUACAUGCAAGUCGAACGGAAAGGCCCGGCUCUUGUGCCUCGCUCGAUUGGCGAACGGGUGAGAAAAACGUGAGUAAACUGCCCUUGACUUUCGGGUAACAUCAGGAAACUGGGGCUCAUACCGCAGAGGAGCUCCUGCUGCACGGUGGUCGUUGGAAAAUUUCGGCGGUUUGGGAUGGACUCGCGGCUUCUCAGCUUGUUGGUGGGGUAGUGGCGUACCAAGGGUUUGACGGGUAGCCGGCCUGAGAGGGUGACCGGCGACAUGGGUACUGCGGUACGGCCCAGACUCCAACGGGAGGCAGCAGUGGGGAAUAUUGCACAAUGGGCGGAAGCGUGAUGCGGCAACGCCGCGUGCGGGAUGACGUCCUUCUGGUUGUAAACCGCUUUCGCCUGUGACGAAGCGUGAGUGACGGUAAUGGGUAAAGAAGCACCGGCUAACUACGUG
RNAcentral lists this ribosomal RNA (468 nucleotides) under uncultured bacterium. Its description in RNAcentral is "partial 16S ribosomal RNA". It matches the Rfam family "Bacterial small subunit ribosomal RNA", at positions 28 to 507 of the family's 1533-position model. The record is from RNAcentral.